This 230-nucleotide ribosomal RNA is filed under the name uncultured bacterium. Its description in RNAcentral is "partial 16S ribosomal RNA". It matches the Rfam family "Bacterial small subunit ribosomal RNA", at positions 334 to 581 of the family's 1533-position model. The record is from RNAcentral.
AUGUCCUACGGGGGGCAGCAGUGGGGGAUAUUGCACAAUGGGGGGAACCCUGAUGCAGCGACGCCGCGUGGGUGAAGAAGCGCCUCGGCGCGUAAAGCCCUGUCAGCAGGGAAGAAAAUGACGGUACCUGACUAAGAAGCCCCGGCUAACUACGUGCCAGCAGCCGCGGUAAUACGUAGGGGGCAAGCGUUAUCCGGAUUUACUGGGUGUAAAGGGAGCGUAGGCGGGGA